AGUGAACGCUGGCGGUAGGCCUAACUCAUGCAAGUCGAACGGCAGCACAGUAAGAGCUUGCUCUUACGGGUGGCGAGUGGCGGACGGGUGAGGAAUACAUCGGAAUCUACUUUUUCGUGGGGGAUAACGUAGGGAAACUUACGCUAAUACCGCAUACGACCUACGGGUGAAAGCAGGGGAUCUUCGGACCUUGCGCGAUUGAAUGAGCCGAUGUCGGAUUAGCUAGUUGGCGGGGUAAAGGCCCACCAAGGCGACGAUCCGUAGCUGGUCUGAGAGGAUGAUCAGCCACACUGGAACUGAGACACGGUCCAGACUCCUACGGGAGGCAGCAGUGGGGAAUAUUGGACAAUGGGCGCAAGCCUGAUCCAGCCAUACCGCGUGGGUGAAGAAGGCCUUCGGGUUGUAAAGCCCUUUUGUUGGGAAAGAAAAGCAGCAGGUUGAUACCCCGCUGUUCUGACGGUACCCAAAGAAUAAGCACCGGCUAACUUCGU
RNAcentral lists this ribosomal RNA (491 nucleotides) under uncultured bacterium. RNAcentral describes it as "partial 16S ribosomal RNA". It matches the Rfam family "Bacterial small subunit ribosomal RNA", at positions 29 to 506 of the family's 1533-position model. The record is from RNAcentral.